GCCCCUCCUGGGCCUUGUGGGCCGGGCAGCCAUUUUGGGAAGAGCUUUGUUAUGAUUGUAGGCUAGUCAUCUUUACCGGUCUGAGAAGCUGGAAACGGGUUCUCAGACGCCUUGUCUUGUUUUUGACUGGAACCCCGCCGCUGCCGGAUUGGUAGAUUCAAGUGGCCUUUUGAGUAAUGAUGGAGAUGGAUCCAAAUUAAUCAGCAACUUUUCUACCAAAGCAGCAGAAGAGUCUUCAUAUCACCUUCUAAAAGCUCUAUUCAGAUUUUCAGAAGGAGGCCAACAAGUGAAAUACUAAAAACUUUUUAAAGAGAAGACAAUCUCAUUUGGGAAUUGUCUUUCUCUUUGCCCCCCUAUCUUUUUACUUGUUUUAAUUUUGCUCUGAAUUUAUAGUGAAGACCAAAGAAAUAGGGUAUACAUUUAGGAGCUUUAUACCAAGAAAUUUGCCUUGAAAGUUACUAUUCUGUGGAAAGAAAAGCAUAUUCAGUUCCUGACUUUUUUUUUUUUUAAGUAAGAUUUCUAAUGUCCUUAGACUUUGAAGGUUAAGACUAUUGUAAAUACAUGUCUACACACUGUUUUUUAGCAGUUGUGUAAGAAUAAUGAGAUUUGUGUUUUAAAGGUGUUGUCUUGUGGAUUUGCCAGAAGAUUUUUAUACUGCUUUAAUACUGUAUUUUUCAUCUAUUGCUUUGAUGACAUUACUUGCCCACAUGGGAGGCUACCUGUCUUUCUAGCUAUGACCUUGUUAUGAACAGUGUUUGUACUCACUGUGCAAAUGUCCAUGUAUUACCGAUUUAAGCAUCAUCAUAGAGCCAUUGCUUAAGGAAGUUGAAUGAGGUGAACAUUGACAUAGCUCUUUCCCCUUUUCCCCUUUUUUAAAUGUAACAAAUACCUUUUAUGUUCCCCUUCCCCCUUCCCCUUUCCCUUUCCCCCUUUUGGAGAAGUGUCAGGAGCUAGGUAGUAUAGGAUAAGCAACUAAGGGAACGAAGAAAGUAAGCUACACAGAGCUGGGC
Molecule: long non-coding RNA, 1010 nt
Filed under: Castor canadensis (American beaver)
Lineage: Eukaryota; Metazoa; Chordata; Mammalia; Rodentia; Castoridae
Description: lncRNA (ENSCCNG00000002646.1)
Source: RNAcentral